This 254-nucleotide ribosomal RNA is filed under the name uncultured bacterium. RNAcentral describes it as "partial 16S ribosomal RNA". It matches the Rfam family "Bacterial small subunit ribosomal RNA", at positions 524 to 776 of the family's 1533-position model. The record is from RNAcentral.
GACGUAGGGCGCGAGCGUUGUCCGGAUUUAUUGGGCGUAAAGAGCUCGUAGGCGGUGUGUCACGUCGGCCGUGAAAACCUGCAGCUUAACUGUGGGCGUGCGGUCGAUACGGGCAUCACUGGAGUUCGGCAGGGGAGACUGGAAUUCCUGGUGUAGCGGUGAAAUGCGCAGAUAUCAGGAGGAACACCGGUGGCGAAGGCGGGUCUCUGGGCCGAUACUGACGCUGAGGAGCGAAAGCGUGGGGAGCGAACAGG